This 250-nucleotide ribosomal RNA is filed under the name uncultured bacterium. RNAcentral describes it as "partial 16S ribosomal RNA". It matches the Rfam family "Bacterial small subunit ribosomal RNA", at positions 524 to 777 of the family's 1533-position model. The record is from RNAcentral.
UACGAAGGGGCUAGCGUUGCUCGGAAUCACUGGGCGUAAAGGGUGCGUAGGCGGGUCUUUAAGUCAGGGUGAAAUCCUGGAGCUCAACUCCAGAACUGCCUUUGAUACUGAAGAUCUUGAGUUCGGAGAGGUGAGUGGAACUGCGAGUGUAGAGGUGAAAUUCGUAGAUAUUCGCAAGAACACCAGUGGCGAAGGCGGCUCACUGGCCCGGAACUGACGCUGAGACGCGAAAGCGUGGGAGCAAACAGGG